This 458-nucleotide ribosomal RNA is filed under the name uncultured Thiobacillus sp. RNAcentral's name for it is "bacterial SSU rRNA". It matches the Rfam family "Bacterial small subunit ribosomal RNA", at positions 925 to 1382 of the family's 1533-position model. The record is from RNAcentral. Lineage: Bacteria; Pseudomonadati; Pseudomonadota; Betaproteobacteria; Nitrosomonadales; Thiobacillaceae.
ACAAGCGGUGGAUUAUGUGGAUUAAUUCGAUGCAACGCGAAAACCUUACUACCCUUGACAUGCUAGGAACUUGCCAGAGAUGGCUUGGUGCCCGAAAGGGAACCUAGACACAGGUGCUGCAUGGCUGUCGUCAGCUCGUGUCGUGAGAUGUUGGGUUAAGUCCCGCAACGAGCGCAACCCUUGUCAUUAAUUGCCAUCAUUCAGUUGGGCACUUUAAUGAGACUGCCGGUGACAAACCGGAGGAAGGUGGGGAUGACGUCAAGUCCUCAUGGCCCUUAUGGGUAGGGCUUCACACGUAAUACAAUGGUCGGUACAGAGGGUUGCCAACCCGCGAGGGGGAGCCAAUCCCAGAAAACCGAUCGUAGUCCGGAUUGUAGUCUGCAACUCGACUGCAUGAAGUCGGAAUCGCUAGUAAUCGCGGAUCAGCAUGUCCGCGGUCGAAUACGUUCCCGGGCCUU